UCACAGUUUAAUCAUGUGGAACACAUUGGUAAAUAUAGAUUUGCCUUUUAGAAAGUUGCUUCAAAGUGUAUUUUGCAGCUCACAAGACGUUUCUCAGGGUGUAAACCAGUGGUGUAAUGUAAAGCUUUUGGCCCUCCCCGAUGUGAGCAGGGAGGAUAGACGUGUUUGGCAUGAUGUUCACGGUGGCGGUGGCACAGGAGGGGGAGGGGCGUGCAGAGAGGCAGGCUAGUUCUCUGUCCCCCUCCCUUCUCUUCCUGUCUCCCAGACUACACAGGGUGCAGCCUGCACCUCCCCAUGCUUUCCUUUCCAUCUGCAGAGAAGGCCGGGAUAGAAAUGCAAUAUUUAAUGAAGAAUUUGUUUAUAUUUUCAGGGCUAAACAAAAAGCUGAUUUAACUCACAGACCUGUUGACUAAUUUUGGUAAUUAAAGUGGUGUUUAUAACAGGGUAGUUGGAAGAUGUGUCUUUUUCAUGACCUGGGAGGGAGUGAUGAUGAAGACAGGGUUGAAAAUAGUUAACUUUGGACAGGGACCUUAAAAACAGCAGUUCCAGAAAUGGCCUUGGAGGCAGGGAUGUCAGGAGAGGAUUCUGGUUGCUGGUUCUUGUCUGAUUUUCUCUUGCAGGAGCAUCUCUGGUUAGAAGCUAUACCAGAGAAUGUGAUGGACACACCAGUCCAGGCGUUAGUUCCUUCUGGUGAAGAACUUUGGAACUGGACCUCUGGGCGUUGAUGGUGUAAAUCAGCCACAACUAUCCCCAAAUUUCAGGCCUUCUAAAUUAUUCAGGAUCCCUACUCUUGAUGGGGUCUAGACCACUGACUGGACAAGCUGACGAUGUCUCAAAGAGCAUCCUGAGUCCCAUCUCCAGGAAGCACCAGGACUGGAGAGGAAGACAGCCUGAUGUCGCCCACUCCAGACCAUCUUCAGCAAGGCUCGACCCCGUACACUUGGGGAGUUUCUCCGAGUUGUCGAGACAGUCUGUACACUUGCUUCUCGUGUUUCUAAACCAUGUCUUCAGCUCUUGUCUCAGAGUUUUUCUUUCCCAUUUUUAUUGUCUUUGUGGAUUUGUUAUUUCUUACUUUUGUUCUUAAAAAAAAAAAAAAAACCUAGAAUUUUAGGGGAAGAAACAUAAAGCAGGUGUUUUCAGUUCACCAUCCUCACUGGAAUUUUCAGGUGCUUUAUGUACAUCAAGCGAAACUUCCACAGCAGGUAUUAAUAUAGAUGAGGGAAAUGUGGAAGUAACGGGAAAUGACAGAGUUAGAAUUAAAAUUCAUUCUAUCUGGCACAAAGGCCCUCAUUUUAGAAAACACCUUUUUUUCUUUUUACUUUAAACAUCUAAGUUUUGUCCCCAAGUAUGAAGAAUUCACUUUUUUCAAAGCCAAGUAAUUCUUGAAAUUAAAAAAAAUUCACAACAUACAUUCAUCCACUCUCUCUGUUUAGUCGUUAAUUCUUAUGUACUUGUCCUACAAAAGUAAACUAUAAUUUUUAAAAGCCUAUUUUAAUUUUACAGCUUUUUGUUUUGUAUUUGAAAUUACUAAGCUUAGCCUGAAGAAAAUUUGUUGUAAUUGAAACUUUUCUCUAAGUCAAGAUUCUACUUCCUAAAACAUUGAAGCUGCUUUGCUUUAUAGAGAAUGAAGUUUCUUGUUUAACCUUGAGUUAUUUGUUGCUAGAAUCUGAAGAUGUGGAGAAAGUUUCUUAAUAUGUUUCUUUUUGGGCUCUCCAGAAGGACUUUCUGCUUCCUGUUGGCAGACCAUCAGGCCAGUUUCUGGACAUCCUUGUUAAAAUAUCCCCACACACAAUGAGUCAGGCUUUAUCAUGGGGAACAAGUCAGAUCCUGUGAAGCAAGUUAAGAGCUGCCACAAAAGACAACUUACACCGUCUGCCACAAACAGGGAGUUUAAAGACUGGGGAGUUUCUGUAAAAUAUCUCUGUCUCAAGAAUGUACAUCUCGUUUGGGAAAGAGAGGGAAAAGGAUCCCUACCUAGAAGACACAGGGAAGGGGAUUGAUGGUUAUUUACAGUCAUUUCAAGCAUUCUUUUCAUUCUGUGAGACUAAAAAGGAACAUGCUGAUCCUUCUAGCUACCAUCUACUUCCAGGCAAGAGCUUCUGUUUGUACUUUGUUCCUAUUUUCAAGGGGCAGGAUAGUGUAUAUCUGCUAAACAGUUACUAAUGAACCUCCUGCCCCCCUCCAUUUUAGGCUUAAAAGCCAUCUUGUAAUAAAGACAAAUUAGGUUCAUUCCUGUUUAUGAUUAAAUCUCUAUUUCUCAAGGAUUGAGCUAUGUCCCACCUGUAACCUUAACUACAUGGGUUCUGUAUUGGCUGUUUCAAGAAAUGGCAACCACGUCUUUGUUUUAAAACCAUCUUGCAACCCGACCUUUGUUUCAAAGGGUUGUUAUGACUGCUUUAUUAUAACCACCUUGCAAUCAUGUCUUUGUUUCAGGAGGUGGUUAUGACUAAUUUGUUAUGCUUAUAUUCUGCUCUUGUGACCCCGUCUAUUUUGCUUGCCAAAGCCCCCAUUUGGAAACCCCUGCCCAUGAGCUAUAAAAAGCUUGUCUUCCUCCUGUCCAAUGCUGAUCUCUUAAACCUCACUUUAGGGAGAGACAGCCCAUUUACACAAAUAAAAGGGCUUGUUUUAAUUAAUUGUUUGCUUUAAUUAAUUUGACUGUAAUGAUUUGGGUCAGUGGUCUUUCUCCUUGAAUCUUUGGGAUUAACAUUACAAGAAAAAUACCCAGAUAAUCAGAGACCAAUGUUUAAAUCAAGAAUGAGUUAUACCCCAGCCCACUUGUUUUAUUGCUUUUUAGUAUUUCAUUCUUCAUUUCUCUUUAACUUCAACAUUAUUGCUUGCUUAAAUAGUUAAAUUAAUUUUAUUUUGUUAGCAGUAUACAAGAGUUUUGCUAUACAUACUUACUUUCCAAAUUUCUAUCCCCAGGAGUUUUUUUUCACCCCAUCAAAUCAAAGCAUUUGCUUACUCUGUUGCCUCUGAAUACUUUGUAUAUUCAUUUUGCUUGACUUUUCUUACACACUUACACUCUGUUCUCUCUCUCUUUCUGUUUGUCUCCCUGUCUCUCUGUCUCCCUGUCUCUCCAUCUCUCUCUGGUGAUCUCUGAAUAGUUCUUUUCCACUCUCUUUUUUCCAGAUUGAUUGUAGUACUUAUAGUUAAAAUGCUGACUUUAUGUAAAAAUACACCAAAUAAAUGUUGUUUUUCUG
Molecule: non-coding RNA, 3200 nt
Organism: Peromyscus maniculatus bairdii (prairie deer mouse)
Lineage: Eukaryota; Metazoa; Chordata; Mammalia; Rodentia; Cricetidae
Source: RefSeq, a predicted model, not a curated record